GAUGAACGCUGGCGGCGUGCUUAACACGUGCAAGUCGAACGGGAUCCAAGGGGUGCUUGCACUUUUUGGUGAGAGUGGCGAACGGGUGAGUAACACGUGAGUAACCUGUCCUUUUCUUUGGGAUAAGCAUUCGAAAGGGUGUUUAAUACCUUAUGUUCUGUCUGCCUCGCAUGGGGUGGGUGGGAAAGGCUUUGGCCGGAUUUGGGUGGGCUCGCGGUCUAUCAGCUUGUUGGUGGGGUGAUGGCUUACCAAGGCUUUGACGGGUAGCCGGCCUGAGAGGGUGGUCGGUCACAUUGGGACUGAGAUACGGCCCAGACUCCUGCGGGAGGCAGCAGUGGGGGAUAUUGCACAAUGGGCGAAAGCCUGAUGCAGCGACGCCGCGUGGGGGAUGAAGGCCUGCGGGUUGUAAACUUCUUUUGCUCUGAACAAGGCAUGCCAGUGGGUGUGUUGAGUGUAGGGGUUGAUUAGCGCCGGCUAACUACGUG
RNAcentral lists this ribosomal RNA (485 nucleotides) under uncultured bacterium. RNAcentral's name for it is "partial 16S ribosomal RNA". It matches the Rfam family "Bacterial small subunit ribosomal RNA", at positions 28 to 507 of the family's 1533-position model. The record is from RNAcentral.